This 653-nucleotide ribosomal RNA is filed under the name uncultured Bacteroides sp. RNAcentral's name for it is "bacterial SSU rRNA". It matches the Rfam family "Bacterial small subunit ribosomal RNA", at positions 70 to 715 of the family's 1533-position model. Lineage: Bacteria; Pseudomonadati; Bacteroidota; Bacteroidia; Bacteroidales; Bacteroidaceae. The record is from RNAcentral.
CAUUUUAGUUUGCUUGCAACUGAAGAUGGCGACCGGCGCACGGGUGAGUAACACGUAUCCCUCCUGCCGAUAACUCCGGGAUAGCCUUUCGAAAGAAAGAUUAAUACCGGAUGGCAUACGAAUAUCGCAUGAUAUUUUUAUUAAAGAAUUUCGGUUAUCGAUGGGGAUGCGUUCCAUUAGUUUGUUGGCGGGGUAACGGCCCACCAAGACUACGAUGGAUAGGGGUUCUGAGAGGAAGGUCCCCCACAUUGGAACUGAGACACGGUCCAAACUCCUACGGGAGGCAGCAGUGAGGAAUAUUGGUCAAUGGGCGCGAGCCUGAACCAGCCAAGUAGCGUGAAGGAUGAAGGCUCUAUGGGUCGUAAACUUCUUUUAUAUGGGAAUAAAGUAUUCCACGUGUGGGAUUUUGUAUGUACCAUAUGAAUAAGGAUCGGCUAACUCCGUGCCAGCAGCCGCGGUAAUACGGAGGAUCCGAGCGUUAUCCGGAUUUAUUGGGUUUAAAGGGAGCGUAGGUGGAUUGUUAAGUCAGUUGUGAAAGUUUGCGGCUCAACCGUAAAAUUGCAGUUGAAACUGGGAGUCUUGAGUACAGUAGAGGUGGGCGGAAUUCGUGGUGUAGCGGUGAAAUGCUUAGAUAUCACGAAGAACUCCGAUUG